CCCUUAGAUGUUCUGGGCCGCACGCGCGCUACACUGAUGCAUUCAACGAGUCUAAAACCUGCUCUGACAGGGGUGGGUAAUCUUUUGAAUGUGCAUCGUGAUUGGGAUAGAUGAUUGCAAUUUUUCAUCUUCAACGAGGAAUGCCUAGUAAACGCAAGUCAUCAGCUUGCAUUGAUUACGUCCCUGCCCUUUGUACACACCGCCCGUCGCUCCUACCGAUUGAAUGAUCCGAUGAAUAUCAUGGAUUGAGGAUGCAAGCAGGUUCGCCUGUCUUCAUCUUCGAGAAGUGAAGUAAAUCUUAUCAUUUAGAGGAAGGAGAAGUCGUAACA
RNAcentral lists this ribosomal RNA (329 nucleotides) under uncultured eukaryote. Its description in RNAcentral is "partial 18S ribosomal RNA". It matches the Rfam family "Eukaryotic small subunit ribosomal RNA", at positions 1470 to 1796 of the family's 1831-position model. The record is from RNAcentral.